UAAUACGAAGGGACCUAGCGUAGUUCGGAAUUACUGGGCUUAAAGAGCACGUAGGUGGUUAAGAAAGUUGGUGGUGAAAUCCCAAAGCUUAACUUUGGAACUGCCACCAAAACUUUUUAACUAGAGUAUGAUUGAGGUAAGCGGAAUUUCUAGUGUAGAGGUGAAAUUCGUAGAUAUUAGAAAGAACACCAAUUGCGAAGGCAGCUUUCUGGAUCAUUACUGACACUGAGGUGCGAAAGCAUGGGUAGCGAAGAGGAUUAGAUACCCUCGUAGUCCAUGCCGUAAACGAUGUGUGCUAGACGUUGGGAAUUUAUUUUUCAGUGUCGCAGCAAAAGCGUUAAGCACACCGCCUGGGGAGUACGACCGCAAGGUUA
Molecule: ribosomal RNA, 374 nt
Filed under: uncultured Alphaproteobacteria bacterium
Lineage: Bacteria; Pseudomonadati; Pseudomonadota; Alphaproteobacteria
Description: bacterial SSU rRNA
Rfam family: Bacterial small subunit ribosomal RNA
Source: RNAcentral